This 207-nucleotide long non-coding RNA is filed under the name Mytilus galloprovincialis (Mediterranean mussel). Lineage: Eukaryota; Metazoa; Mollusca; Bivalvia; Mytilida; Mytilidae. The record is from RNAcentral.
UUGGUGUCUAAAAAUUGUCUUUGCAAAAGUUGGACGAAGUUCAUGUAAUGAGAUGUUUUUCCCCAUUUCACCAUUCUUUUAAAUAAAUCGUUAAAAGCUAUAAACGAUUAAUAAAAAUUGCAAAAUUUAACCUGUGUCGAACCUAUGUCCCCGGGUGGAGUCUAUAGCAACAUGCGCUAUUCUUUUUUUUCGGCAGCAAUCAUCAAC